UACGUAGGUGGCGAGCGUUGUCCGGAAUUACUGGGUGUAAAAGCGCGUGUAGGCGGCAGCCAAGUCGGUGGUGAAAGCGCCCGGCUCAACUGGGCGAGUCCAUGGAACUGGUCAGCUGGAGGACGGUAGAGGCGAGUGGAAUUCCCGGUGUAGUGGUGAAAUGCGUAGAGAUCGGGAGGAACACUGUGGCGAAGGCGGCUCGCUGGGCCGGUCUGACGCUGAACGCGAAGGCGUGGGGAGCGAACGGG
This 248-nucleotide ribosomal RNA is filed under the name uncultured bacterium. RNAcentral's name for it is "partial 16S ribosomal RNA". It matches the Rfam family "Bacterial small subunit ribosomal RNA", at positions 524 to 776 of the family's 1533-position model. The record is from RNAcentral.